Molecule: ribosomal RNA, 365 nt
Filed under: uncultured bacterium
Lineage: Bacteria
Description: bacterial SSU rRNA
Rfam family: Bacterial small subunit ribosomal RNA
Source: RNAcentral
AACGAACGCUGGCGGCAGGCCUAACACAUGCAAGUCGAACGCUCCGCAAGGGGAGUGGCGCACGGGUGAGUAACACGUGGGAACCUACCUUCUGGUACGGAACAACCAAGGGAAACUUUGGCUAAGACCGUAUACGACCUCCGGGUGAAAGAUUGAUCGCCGGAAGAGGGGCCCGCGUCCGAUUAGGUAGUUGGUGAGGUAACGGCUCACCAAGCCUUCGAUCGGUAGCUGGUCUGAGAGGAUGACCAGCCACACUGGGACUGAGACACGGCCCAGACUCCUACGGGAGGCAGCAGUGGGGAAUAUUGGACAAUGGGCGCAAGCCUGAUCCAGCCAUGCCGCGUGAGUGAUGGAGGCCUUCGGUU